This 468-nucleotide ribosomal RNA is filed under the name uncultured bacterium. RNAcentral describes it as "partial 16S ribosomal RNA". It matches the Rfam family "Bacterial small subunit ribosomal RNA", at positions 28 to 507 of the family's 1533-position model. The record is from RNAcentral.
GACGAACGCUGGCGGCGUGCUUAACACAUGCCAGUCGAACGGAAAGGCCCUGCUUUUGUGGGGUGCUCGAGUGGCGAACGGGUGAGUAACACGUGAGUAACCUGCCCUUGACUUUGGGAUAACUUCAGGUAACUGGGGCUAAUACCGGAUAGGAGCUCCUGCUGCAUGGUGGGGGUUGGAAAGUUUCGGCGGUUGGGGAUGGACUCGCGGCUUAUCAGCUUGUUGGUGGGGUAGUGGCUUACCAAGGCUUUGACGGGUAGCCGGCCUGAAAGGGUGACCGGCGACAAUGGGAAUGAGAUACAGCCCAGACUCCUACGGGAGGCAGCAGUGAGGAAUAGUGCACAAUGGGCGGAAGCCUGAUGCAGCAACGCCGCGUGCGGGAUGACGGCCUUCGGGUUGUAAACCGCUUUCGCCUGUGACGAAGCGUGAGUGACGGUAAUGGGUAAAGAAGCACCGGCUAACUACGUG